AAACGACUCUCGACAACGGAUAUCUCGGCUCUCGCAUCGAUGAAGAACGUAGCGAAAUGCGAUACUUGGUGUGAAUUGCAGAAUCCCGUGAACCAUCGAGUCUUUGAACGCAAGUUGCGCCUGAGGCCACUAGGCUAAGGGCACGUCUGCCUGGGUGUCACGU
Molecule: ribosomal RNA, 163 nt
Filed under: Perideridia leptocarpa
Lineage: Eukaryota; Viridiplantae; Streptophyta; Magnoliopsida; Apiales; Apiaceae
Description: 5.8S ribosomal RNA
Rfam family: 5.8S ribosomal RNA
About the family: 5.8S ribosomal RNA (5.8S rRNA) is a component of the large subunit of the eukaryotic ribosome.
Source: RNAcentral